GAACCCCUGUGAGGGGAGUGAAAUAGAACCUGAAACCGUGUACGUACAAGCAGUAGGAGCACCUUCGUGGUGUGACUGCGUACCUUUUGUAUAAUGGGUCAGCGACUUAUAUUCAGUGGCAAGGUUAACCGUAUAGGGGAGCCGUAGCGAAAGCGAGUCUUAACUGGGCGCUCAGUCUCUGGAUAUAGACCCGAAACCGGGUGAUCUAGCCAUGGGCAGGUUGAAGGUUGAGUAACAUCAACUGGAGGACCGAACCGACUAAUGUUGAAAAAUUAGCGGAUGACUUGUGGCUAGGGGUGAAAGGCCAAUCAAACUCGGAGAUAGCUGGUUCUCCCCGAAAGCUAUUUAGGUAGCGCCUCGGACGAAUACUACUGGGGGUAGAGCACUGUUAAGGCUAGGGGGUCAUCCCGACUUACCAACCCUUUGCAAACUCCGAAUACCAGUAAGUACUAUCCGGGAGACACACGGCGGGUGCUAACGUCCGUCGUGGAGAGGGAAACAACCCAGACCGCCAGCUAAGGUCCCAAAGUAUUGCUAAGUGGGAAACGAUGUGGGAAGGCUCAGACAGCUAGGAUGUUGGCUUAGAAGCAGCCAUCAUUUAAAGAAAGCGUAAUAGCUCACUAGUCGAGUCGGCCUGCGCGGAAGAUGUAACGGGGCUAAGCAAUACACCGAAGCUGCGGCAAUGUCUUUUAGACAUUGGGUAGGGGAGCGUUCUGUAAGCCGUUGAAGGUGAAUCGUAAGGUUUGCUGGAGGUAUCAGAAGUGCGAAUGCUGACAUGAGUAACGACAAAGGGGGUGAAAAACCUCCUCGCCGGAAGACCAAGGGUUCCUGUCCAACGUUAAUCGGGGCAGGGUGAGUCGACCCCUAAGGUGAGGCCGAAAGGCGUAAUCGAUGGGAAACGGGUUAAUAUUCCCGUACUUCUGACUAUUGCGAUGGGGGGACGGAGAAGGCUAGGUGGGCCAGGCGACGGUUGUCCUGGUUCAAGUGCGUAGGCUUGAGAGUUAGGUAAAUCCGGCUCUCUCUAAGGCUGAGACACGACGUCGAGCUACUACGGUAGUGAAGUCAUUGAUGCCAUGCUUCCAGGAAAAGCCUCUAAGCUUCAGAUAGUCAGGAAUCGUACCCCAAACCGACACAGGUGGUCGGGUAGAGAAUACCAAGGCGCUUGAGAGAACUCGGGUGAAGGAACUAGGCAAAAUGGUACCGUAACUUCGGGAGAAGGUACGCUCUUGAUGGUGAAGUCCCUCGCGGAUGGAGCUGACGAGAGUCGCAGAUACCAGGUGGCUGCAACUGUUUAUUAAAAACACAGCACUGUGCAAAAUCGCAAGAUGACGUAUACGGUGUGACGCCUGCCCGGUGCCGGAAGGUUAAUUGAUGGGGUUAGCGCAAGCGAAGCUCUUGAUCGAAGCCCCGGUAAACGGCGGCCGUAACUAUAACGGUCCUAAGGUAGCGAAAUUCCUUGUCGGGUAAGUUCCGACCUGCACGAAUGGCGUAAUGAUGGCCACGCUGUCUCCACCCGAGACUCAGUGAAAUUGAAAUCGCUGUGAAGAUGCAGUGUACCCGCGGCUAGACGGAAAGACCCCGUGAACCUUUACUACAGCUUGGCACUGAACAUUGAACCUACAUGUGUAGGAUAGGUGGGAGGCUAUGAAGACGUGACGCCAGUUGCGUUGGAGCCGUCCUUGAAAUACCACCCUUGUAUGUUUGAUGUUCUAACUUAGACCCAUUAUCUGGGUUGAGGACAGUGCCUGGUGGGUAGUUUGACUGGGGCGGUCUCCUCCCAAAGAGUAACGGAGGAGCACGAAGGUGGGCUAAUCACGGUUGGACAUCGUGAGGUUAGUGCAAUGGCAUAAGCCCGCUUAACUGCGAGAAUGACGGUUCGAGCAGGUGCGAAAGCAGGUCAUAGUGAUCCGGUGGUUCUGUAUGGAAGGGCCAUCGCUCAACGGAUAAAAGGUACUCCGGGGAUAACAGGCUGAUACCGCCCAAGAGUUCAUAUCGACGGCGGUGUUUGGCACCUCGAUGUCGGCUCAUCACAUCCUGGGGCUGAAGUCGGUCCCAAGGGUAUGGCUGUUCGCCAUUUAAAGUGGUACGCGAGCUGGGUUUAGAACGUCGUGAGACAGUUCGGUCCCUAUCUGCCGUGGGCGUUGGAAGAUUGAAGGGGGCUGCUCCUAGUACGAGAGGACCGGAGUGGACGAACCUCUGGUGUUCGGGUUGUGUCGCCAGACGCAUUGCCCGGUAGCUAAGUUCGGAAUUGAUAAGCGCUGAAAGCAUCUAAGCGCGAAGCGAGCCCUGAGAUGAGUCUUCCCUGACAGUUUAACUGUCCUAAAGGGUUGUUCGAGACUAGAACGUUGAUAGGCAGGGUGUGUAAGCGUUGUGAGGCGUUGAGCUAACCUGUACUAAUUGCCCGUGAGGCUUAACCAUACAACACCCAAGGGGUUUUGUA
RNAcentral lists this ribosomal RNA (2440 nucleotides) under Vibrio cholerae. RNAcentral's name for it is "partial 23S ribosomal RNA". It matches the Rfam family "Bacterial large subunit ribosomal RNA", at positions 521 to 2925 of the family's 2925-position model. The record is from RNAcentral. Lineage: Bacteria; Pseudomonadati; Pseudomonadota; Gammaproteobacteria; Vibrionales; Vibrionaceae.